GCAAGUCGAGCGCUACCUUCGGGUGGAGCGGCGGACGGGUUAGUAACGCGUGGGAAUAUGCCCUUCUCUAUGGAAUAGCCAUUGGAAACGAUGAGUAAUACCAUAUACGCCCUUCGGGGGAAAGAUUUAUUGGAGAAGGAUUAGCCCGCGUUAGAUUAGUUAGUUGGUGGGGUAAUGGCCUACCAAGACGACGAUCUAUAGCUGGUUUGAGAGGAUGAUC
RNAcentral lists this ribosomal RNA (220 nucleotides) under uncultured bacterium. RNAcentral describes it as "partial 16S ribosomal RNA". It matches the Rfam family "Bacterial small subunit ribosomal RNA", at positions 57 to 305 of the family's 1533-position model. The record is from RNAcentral.